ACGAGGGGGAAUCUGCAUGCAGAAAGGACAGGAGUGUGUACUGCGAAGACUGGGGCGAGGCUCUGACCAAUAAGAGCGUUCCAGUGAUUUGUGUGGUGAAUCUGCAGAGCGGCUCCGUCAGCAUGCUGCAGGACGUCCUGCCUGACGUCUCACCGGGACAGGCUUUAUGGGCUCCUGGGAGUCAAUCAGUGUUUUUCGUUGGUUGGUACCAUGAACCAUUCAGACUCGGACUGAAGUUCUGCUCCAACCGCAGGUCAGAGAGUUUUGUUUCUUUUCAGUUUUAGCCUUUUCUUCAGCAC
Non-coding RNA from Plectropomus leopardus (leopard coralgrouper), 299 nucleotides. The record is from RefSeq and is a predicted model, not a curated record. NCBI's taxonomy places the organism in Eukaryota, Metazoa, Chordata, Actinopteri, Perciformes, Serranidae.